Molecule: ribosomal RNA, 253 nt
Filed under: uncultured bacterium
Lineage: Bacteria
Description: partial 16S ribosomal RNA
Rfam family: Bacterial small subunit ribosomal RNA
Source: RNAcentral
UACAGAGGGGGCAAGCGUUAUUCGGAAUUAUUGGGCGUAAAGGGCGCGUAGGCGGCUUGGCAAGUGGAAGGUGAAAUCCCUCGGCUUAACCGGGGAACUGCGUCUGAUACUGGAUGGCUAGAGAUUGGGAGAGGGAUGCGGAAUUCCAGGUGUAGCGGUGAAAUGCGUAGAUAUCUGGAGGAACACCGGUGGCGAAGGCGGCAUCCUGGACCAACACUGACGCUGAGGAGCGAAAGCCAGGGGAGCAAACGGG